RNAcentral lists this long non-coding RNA (267 nucleotides) under Lathyrus oleraceus (garden pea). RNAcentral's name for it is "Pisum sativum (pea) long non-coding RNA (PSAT_LNC029068)". The record is from RNAcentral. Lineage: Eukaryota; Viridiplantae; Streptophyta; Magnoliopsida; Fabales; Fabaceae.
UCAUCUCCCAAUUUCGAAUUCCCUGUAUUCGAAGCGGAAGAAGAUGAUGUUGAAGGGAUUCCUGACGAGAUUUCCCGACUUCUUGAGCAAAAAAGAAGAUCACUCAGCUGCAUCUCGAGAAUCAGCAGAACAGCCAAUUGGGGCAUUAAUCAAAAUUAAAAAAAAAAAAAAAUAAAAGAGAAAAAAUCAAUAAAAAAAAAACAACAAAGAAAGAGAGGGUGCAAAAUCAAAAAAAAUCAAAAGAAAUCAAAAGAAAGAAAAAGAAAG